AAAUUGAAGAGUUUGAUCAUGGCUCAGAUUGAACGCUGGCGGCAGGCCUAACACAUGCAAGUCGAACGGUAACAGGAAGAAGCUUGCUUCUUUGCUGACGAGUGGCGGACGGGUGAGUAAUGUCUGGGAAACUGCCUGAUGGAGGGGGAUAACUACUGGAAACGGUAGCUAAUACCGCAUAACGUCGCAAGACCAAAGAGGGGGACCUUCGGGCCUCUUGCCAUCGGAUGUGCCCAGAUGGGAUUAGCUAGUA
RNAcentral lists this ribosomal RNA (253 nucleotides) under Escherichia coli. Its description in RNAcentral is "partial 16S ribosomal RNA". It matches the Rfam family "Bacterial small subunit ribosomal RNA", at positions 1 to 250 of the family's 1533-position model. The record is from RNAcentral. Lineage: Bacteria; Pseudomonadati; Pseudomonadota; Gammaproteobacteria; Enterobacterales; Enterobacteriaceae.